UACGAAGGGGGCUAGCGUUGUUCGGAAUUACUGGGCGUAAAGCGCACGUAGGCGGAUAUUUAAGUCAGGGGUGAAAUCCCGGGGCUCAACCCCGGAACUGCCUUUGAUACUGGGUAUCUAGAGUCCGGAAGAGGUGAGUGGAAUUCCGAGUGUAGAGGUGAAAUUCGUAGAUAUUCGGAAGAACACCAGUGGCGAAGGCGGCUCACUGGACUGGUAUUGACGCUGAGGUGCGAAAGCGUGGGGAGCAAACAGG
Molecule: ribosomal RNA, 253 nt
Filed under: uncultured bacterium
Lineage: Bacteria
Description: partial 16S ribosomal RNA
Rfam family: Bacterial small subunit ribosomal RNA
Source: RNAcentral